RNAcentral lists this ribosomal RNA (254 nucleotides) under uncultured bacterium. RNAcentral describes it as "partial 16S ribosomal RNA". It matches the Rfam family "Bacterial small subunit ribosomal RNA", at positions 524 to 776 of the family's 1533-position model. The record is from RNAcentral.
CACGUAGGGGGCGAGCGUUGUCCGGAUUUAUUGGGCGUAAAGAGCUCGUAGGCGGCUCAGUAAGUCAGGUGUGAAAACUCCAGGCUCGACCUGGAGACGCCACCUGAUACUGCUGUGGCUAGAGUCCGGUAGGGGAGCAUGGAAUUCCUGGUGUAGCGGUGAAAUGCGCAGAUAUCAGGAGGAACACCAGUGGCGAAGGCGGUGCUCUGGGCCGGAACUGACGCUGAGGAGCGAAAGCGUGGGGAGCAAACAGG